CAUAAGCAAACAGCAGCACCAACAAAACGUAAGGGCUACUAGUGGAGUGGUCAUCGGAACAGAGACCAACUGUCCAGCCAGGGAGGUACGCGGUGCUACUUCUUCAGUUUCGUGGCCCAGCAGGGAUGCCCUUGUGACUGGAAUCAGAGUUUGCACAGACUCCUAAGAGGAUAGGAUUUAAGGAUGGCUGAGCAACAGUGGGGAUUUUGGAGAAAUGUCAUGAGGAAGGUUCUGGAGCCAGGGCAGUUACUGUUGAAGAUUAAGAAGGAAGUGUGAGCCGGGCGGUGGUGGCACACGCCUUUAAUCCCAGCACUCGGGAGGCAGAGGCAGGCGGAUCUCUGGCACCACCAGUUGUGAGUUGGGCCCUCUUACAUGAGUCAUCAAUCAGGAAAAUGCCCACACACUUGCCUGCUGCCCAAUCACAAGGAAACAUUUUCUCCAUCAGAAUUCU
Molecule: long non-coding RNA, 451 nt
Organism: Arvicola amphibius (Eurasian water vole)
Lineage: Eukaryota; Metazoa; Chordata; Mammalia; Rodentia; Cricetidae
Exons: 4
Source: RefSeq, a predicted model, not a curated record